Bufo bufo (common toad) is the source of this 1816-nucleotide RNA transcript. It is a transcript of the gene named sialic acid-binding Ig-like lectin 13, with no coding region annotated. The record is from RefSeq and is a predicted model, not a curated record. The transcript has 12 exons. NCBI's taxonomy places the organism in Eukaryota, Metazoa, Chordata, Amphibia, Anura, Bufonidae.
GAGGUGGGACAUGCUGUUGACUGAAUCAUUGAGAUUCUCAGGAAUAAUGGCAAUAAAACCCUAUCCUACAUCUAUACGUGAUUUCACUAUCAAGAUGAGGCACAUAAAGCACAGUAUCAUGUGGGUCAGUCUUGUGGUCAUCCUGCCUCUCCUCUGGAAAGGUAUCUCAAGCCAGGUCAUACAUCUUCAAGGUUAUUCUAUUGAAGUGGCUUCCAGUGUCAGAGUACAGGAGGGUCUCUGCGUCACGAUUCCUUGUAACUUCACUGCUGGCGGCAGAAAUACAUUCAGUAAUUCCUUUGGAUACUGGAGAGAUCCCAAUUCAGAUUCUUUCCUAGCCAGUAAUGAUAAAUCUAGUGCCGUGAAAAAAACAAACUUCCAUCUGACUGGAAAUCCAGAUUCCGGAGACUGCACCCUGACCAUAACUGACGCCAGAAGAGAAGAUGAGGGGGAAUAUUUCUUUAGAUUUGAAGAAAGCAAAGACAGUAAUGUGAAAUAUAGUUAUACCCGAGAAAGAAAAACCUCUGUUACUGUGACUGCUCCUGUCACAUCCGAUGUUGGGAGAUUAAUUGCUGGAAGAAGUAAGACUUUGACCUGUGCUCCUCCUGGGGACUGCUCUGAGAAAUCAAUAGAUUUCCAAUGGAAGAAGAGUAAUGUGGCUGGUGUCUGGAAGAAUUCAUCUACAGUCACAUUCACCCCAUCUCUAGAUGAUCACCAGGAAACCAUCACAUGUGAGAUUACAAAUAUCCAGGGGAUGAAAACUCAAAAAAACAUUCUUCUUGAUGUCUGCUGUCCUACAUCUAUUAUGAUCACAGGGGAGAUAAAUGGAAACAAAGAGAAUAUAAUAGACCUUAUAAAAGUGGAUGAAGGUUCAUCAAUGACAUUGACCUGCUCAGUACAAAGUAAUCUAACACUUAAUAUGACCUGGUCGGAUGAGAAGAACAAUGUUCUCCAGCAAGGAAAUGGAAAGAAGCUAGAACUCAGACUAGAAAACAUAACAUUGAACCAUACCGGUGUCUACACAUGCUCAACAUUGACUGAAAAUGUGAUAAAAAGCACAAAAAUUAAUGUAAUUGUACACCACCCACCUAGAAAUAUGAAAAUCACCAUUCAUUCAUCCAAAGGCAGAGAACAUCUAGCAAGUCAACAAGUCGGUAUUGAUUCAACUGAAACAUUGACCCUUGUCUGCAGUGUUGAAGGCAACCCAAAUGCUACUGUGGUCUGGGUAAAGGGGGAAUUUGACAUAGAGACAUCUAAUAAUGGUCGUACGUCAGCAAUGAUAAAUGUGAUGCCAUCAACAGCUAAUGUCUACCGAUGCUUGGCAUGGAAUACACUUGGGCUGAGUGAACAACGUAUUCAAGUUUGCACAAAAUGGGCUUGUAUAACUGCAACCAUGGAUUUGACCGUCAUUAUUGGGAUGGCUAUUGGCAAUGUUGGUGCCCUCAUCAUAAUUUUUGUGGGAUCCUGUUUCUGUAUGAAGCAACGCAUGAAGAAAAAGCAGUUAGUGAAGAAACCCACAAACCCCAGGAAACAAAGAAAAGAAUCCACAUAUCAGGCACAAGACAACAGUGGGAAUGAAGAAAAUAUCUACUGCAACACUUUGGCAUAAUAAUAAUGAAGACCUCCAUGAUGUUACUUCCAAUUUCUUGCAGCAACAUAAAAUAGUCAUUAUUACUGGAAUCAAACCUGCACCACUGUUUCCACAGCUAGUGGAAAACUAACACUCCCAGUAAAACUUGAUUUAGGCCUCAUGCACACGACCGUUUUUCGGGUCCGCAUCCGAGCCACAGUUUUUGCGGCUUGGGUGCGGACCUAUUCA